ACCUACUUCCCCUGUGACAAUUUUUUUUUAAAAAAAAAAGAAAAAGAAAAAUCCCGUCUCCCAUUAUGCCUGCCCCAUCCCCAUGUAAUUUUUUUUAUUUUUUAUUUUUCUUAAACUAACAUCAGUCCGAUCAUGUUUCUUGCAGUAGAGACAUGGUUUCAAUCCUCAUACACUCCAUUUACUUCCAUCCUCCAUCCUUGGCCAGCACUAGCAAGUGGGUGGGUCAUGGCAUAGAGCUUAGCCAGGACUCUGGCCCUCCACUCAAGUCACUGUUGAUAAGACCUACAUGGUAGAAAAAUACAAAUGUCCCAUCUUUGUGUAUGGAAAAGAAACUAUAUAUUGCUCCUCACAUGUAGAUCUUAUAAUUUUCCCAACUCUUUUUGGUGCACCAUUUUUCAACAUGGGACACCCCAGGUUUCUAACAUGGUCAAAUUGGUUUGUAUCAGCAUUGACCGCUGCAUGCAUUGUAGGAAUAACAAUUGCAAUAGUUACUGCUUUUGUACGCUUAUUCUUGUGAUGCACUUCAUGAAAGCAGGCAAUUCACUGAGGGGAGGAAACAAAACAGUCACACCUUGUUGGAAAUGUUGAAUCCCUGUUACCUUAUUGGAGUAUUUUAUGUCUGUGGCAGGAAAACACACAUCAGGCCUGAAGGGACUCACUAUAAAUUAAAACAGGCAGCACUAAAAGUUAAGGCACCCUCACAUCAGCACAGCUAACUUUACCACGUAUUCUGGACAAGUCUGCCUGCCUGAAUAAGUGCUCCUUGAGGUAUUAAGGGCAAGGUACCAAAACUUUCUACAUUUCUGGGAAAUAGGCGUAUUUAUAGAUUAAUUCUCACAUGGAAAAACUAAGCAGGAGUUUAGAGUGCGGAUUGUAUGGUGGUGUAUUGAUUUGUUUCAGGAGCUAACUUGAACUUAUGAGGCCAUGCAAUGUGAUCUCAAUUUUGAGUAUCUUGUGUUUGUGGAGGUUUGGAGUUGGGAGAAUAGGAUGCUCAGAGACUCCAGUCGUGCUAUGAAAAAGAAAAGGAUGCUCCACCAAAGAAAAAGAAAAGAAGGAUGGGAGUGUCCACCUGUGAUUUUGACCAGACUCCCACUGUCAUCCCUUGCCUCCCAUACCCUGAUAC
RNAcentral lists this long non-coding RNA (1123 nucleotides) under Elaeis guineensis (African oil palm). Its description in RNAcentral is "long non-coding RNA (EGUI_LNC005253)". Lineage: Eukaryota; Viridiplantae; Streptophyta; Magnoliopsida; Arecales; Arecaceae. The record is from RNAcentral.